This 372-nucleotide ribosomal RNA is filed under the name uncultured organism. RNAcentral's name for it is "bacterial SSU rRNA". It matches the Rfam family "Bacterial small subunit ribosomal RNA", at positions 526 to 896 of the family's 1533-position model. The record is from RNAcentral.
CAGAGGGUGCAAGCGUUGUUCGGAAUUAUUGGGCGUAAAGCGCGUGUAGGCGGUUUGGUAAGUCAGACGUGAAAGCCCUCGGCUUAACCGAGGAAGUGCAUCUGAUACUGCUUUAUUUGAGUGUCGGAGGGGAUGGCGGAAUUCCCGGUGUAGAGGUGAAAUUCGUAGAUAUCGGGAGGGACACCCGUGGCGAAGGCGGCCAUCUGGAAGACAACUGACGCUGAGACGCGAAAGCGUGGGGAGCAAACAGGAUUAGAUACCCUGGUAGUCCACGCUGUAAACGAUGAGUGCUAGAUGUUGCGGGUAUUGACCCCUGCAGUGUCAAAGCCAACGCGUUAAGCACCCCGCCUGGGGAGUACGGUCGCAAGAUUA